Long non-coding RNA from Trachymyrmex septentrionalis, 402 nucleotides. RefSeq lists it as uncharacterized. The record is from RefSeq and is a predicted model, not a curated record. NCBI's taxonomy places the organism in Eukaryota, Metazoa, Arthropoda, Insecta, Hymenoptera, Formicidae. The transcript has 3 exons.
AAAUAAUCGAGGUAACAAAACAUCCGAAACGAAACGACCAAACAUGUCCGACCAAAUCUUUUAUUUGACGAGUCAUUCAGAUUGAGAAGAAGGAGAGGUAUAAGCUACAAUGCCUGGGUGUAUAGCAGGUUACUGCACAAACUGCCAAAUAAGGUAAAUGUCGUUUUUCACGAGACCCAAAAAGAAGAAAAAUUUGGGUUAAAAAUACAGGACGACUGGAUUCGGUCUGAAUUCAAUCUAAUUCGGUGUUAUAUGAGGUAUAUUAUGUUGCCACGAAUGUAUUGCUGCCACGAGAUCAAAGACACACCAAGCACGCAUACCUUUGAUGCAUUUACACGCAUUAAAUGUUUCACACAAGAGACAUUAUUUUAUGUCAAUUCUUCAACGUUUCAAGUUUUUUAA